This 271-nucleotide ribosomal RNA is filed under the name uncultured bacterium. Its description in RNAcentral is "partial 16S ribosomal RNA". It matches the Rfam family "Bacterial small subunit ribosomal RNA", at positions 28 to 304 of the family's 1533-position model. The record is from RNAcentral.
GAUGAACGCUAGCGGCAGGCUUAACACAUGCAAGUCGAGGGGUAGUAUAGCAAUAUAUGAGACCGGCGCACGGGUGCGUAACGCGUAUGCAAUCUGCCUUUUACAGAGGGAUAGCCCAGAGAAAUUUGGAUUAAUACCUCAUAGUAUAUUGAUGUGGCAUCACAUUAUUAUUAAAGAUUUAUCGGUAAAAGAUGAGCAUGCGUCCCAUUAGCUAGUUGGUAAGGUAACGGCUUACCAAGGCGACGAUGGGUAGGGGUCCUGAGAGGGAGAU